Molecule: RNA transcript, 6048 nt
Organism: Mus musculus (house mouse)
Lineage: Eukaryota; Metazoa; Chordata; Mammalia; Rodentia; Muridae
Gene: Atp10d
Gene name: ATPase, class V, type 10D
Exons: 23
Source: RefSeq, marked validated
GGAGCCCGGGAGGUCUGAGGAGGGCGGAGAGUCGCCUGCUCCGCUCGGUUUAGGCACCCGCGCUCCGCACGCGGAGCUGGGGAGCUGGGAAGUAGGUAUUGUUCUGCUUCUCAAUGACAAAUGGCUGGCUUGGAAGCGUAACUCUCCCCGCCCUUUGGAUCUCUGCUCCGUUCUCUUUUGGCACUUUGGGAUCCGAGGUAACACCAUGCUGGGAUGAGCGGCCCGGGAGGGACAGAUCGCCUGAGCCAGCCGGGUCUCCCUGCGUCUUGGGCAUGACUGAGCUGCUGCAGUGGGCCAGACAUCACUGGCGUCGGCUGAGCCAUGGGAGAGCCCAGGGUGAAGAUGAGAGGCCAUACAACUACGCCUCCCUGCUGGCCUGUGGGGGCAAGUCCUCGAGGACCCCCAGACCUGCAGGAAAGCACCGCGUCGUUAUUCCCCACCUUCAGUGCUUCAAAGAUGAGUACGAAAGGUUUUCUGGAACCUACGUGAAUAACCGGAUACGGACGACCAAGUACACACUCCUGAACUUUGUGCCAAGAAACUUAUUUGAACAGUUUCACAGGGCUGCCAAUUUAUAUUUCCUGUUCCUCGUGGUCCUGAACUGGGUGCCUUUGGUAGAAGCCUUCCAAAAGGAAAUCACCAUGCUGCCUCUGGUGGUGGUCCUCACAAUUAUUGCAAUUAAAGAUGGCUUGGAAGACUACCGGAAAUACAAAAUCGACAAGCAGAUCAACAACUUAAUAACCAAAGUUUACAGUAGGAAAGAAAAAAAGUACAUUGACUGUUGCUGGAAAAAUGUCACCGUCGGGGACUUCAUCCGCCUGUCCUGCAAUGAGAUCAUCCCUGCAGACAUGGUCUUACUCUUUUCCACAGACCCAGAUGGCAUCUGCCACAUUGAGACUUCCGGCCUUGAUGGAGAGAGCAAUUUAAAGCAGAGGCAGGUGGUGCGUGGCUACACAGAGCAGGACUCUGAGGUUGAUCCGGAGAAGUUCUCCAGCAGGAUAGAAUGUGAAAGUCCAAACAAUGACCUCAGCCGAUUCCGAGGCUUCCUGGAACAUGCCAAUAAAGAACGUGUGGGCCUCAGCAAAGAGAAUUUAUUGCUCCGCGGGUGCACCAUCAGAAACACAGAGGCUGUGGUGGGCAUUGUGGUCUAUGCAGGUCAUGAAACCAAAGCAAUGCUGAACAACAGUGGGCCACGGUAUAAGCGCAGUAAGUUAGAGAGAAGAGCAAACACCGACGUCCUCUGGUGUGUCCUGCUUCUGAUUGUCAUGUGCUUAACUGGUGCACUGGGUCACGGCAUAUGGCUGAGCAGGUAUGAGAACAUGCUCUUUUUUAACAUCCCUGAGCCGGAUGGACGUGUCAUCUCACCCGUGCUGACUGGAUUCUAUGUGUUCUGGACCAUGAUCAUCUUGCUGCAGGUCCUGAUCCCCAUUUCUCUCUAUGUGUCCAUUGAGAUCGUGAAGCUUGGGCAGAUCUAUUUCAUCCAGAGCGAUGUAGAUUUCUACAACGAGAAAAUGGAUUCUACCAUUCAGUGCCGAGCCCUGAACAUCACUGAGGACCUUGGGCAGAUUCAAUACCUCUUUUCUGAUAAGACAGGAACCCUCACUGAGAAUAAGAUGGUGUUUCGGAGGUGCAGUGUAGCAGGGUUUGACUACUGUCAUGAAGAAAACGCCAAGAGGCUCGAGUCCUAUCAGGAAGCUGUCUCUGAAGAGGAGGAAUGCACAGACACUCUCGGCGGCUCCCUCAGCAACAUGGCGAGACCCAGAGCCCAGGGCUGCAGGACAGUUCCCAGUGGGCCUCUGGGAAAGCCCUCGGCUCAGCUCUCCGGGAGCACCUCUGCUGUAGGAAAUGGAGAAGGAUCUGGGGAAGUGCCUCAUUCCAGACAGGCCGCCUUCAGUAGUCCCAUGGAAACAGACGUGGUACCAGAUACCAGACUUUUAGACAAAUUUAGCCAGCUUACCCCUCAGCUGCUCACUGGACUGGAUGGCACCGCUCAGAGUUCACCGCUGGAGACUUUGUACAUCAUGGACUUCUUUAUUGCACUGGCAAUUUGCAACACGGUGGUGGUUUCUGCACCGAACCAACCUCGGCAAAAGAUUGGACUCUCCUCACUGGGUGGAAUGCCCAUCAAGUCCUUGGAAGAGAUUAAAAACAUCUUCCAGAAAUUGUCCGUCCGGAGAUCAAGUUCACCGUCCCUUGCCAGUGGGAAGGAUUCAUCCUCUGGGACUCCCUGUGCCUUUGUGAGCAGAAUCUCUUUCUUUAGUCGACCAAAACUGUCACCUCCUAUGGAGGACGAGUCUUCCCAAAUGGAUGAAAUCCCCCAGGCCAGUAACUCAGCUUGCUGUACAGAAACAGAGGCACAAAACAGGGCCGUAGGACUCAGUGUCAGUUCCGCUGAAGCCCUAAGUGGACCACCGCCCUCGGCUUCCAACCUGUGCUAUGAGGCGGAGAGUCCAGAUGAAGCAGCUUUGGUGUAUGCCGCCAGAGCUUACCGUUGCACUUUACAGUCUCGGACCCCAGAGCAGGUCAUGGUGGACUUUGCUGCUUUGGGCUCAUUAACAUUUUAACUCCUACACAUUCUGCCCUUUGACUCUGUAAGGAAAAGAAUGUCGGUCGUGGUCAGGCAUCCUCUUUCCAAACAAGUCGUGGUGUAUACAAAAGGCGCUGAUUCUGUUAUCAUGGAGCUGCUGUCUGUGGCUGCCUCAGAUGGAACAAAUCCAGAACAACAGAUGAUAAUAAGGGAGAGAACGCAGAGGCACCUGGACGAGUAUGCCAAACGAGGGCUGCGCACUCUAUGUGUAGCAAAGAAGGUCAUGAGUGACACGGAAUAUGCAGAGUGGCUGAGGAAUCACUUUCUAGCUGAAACCAGCAUUGACAACAGGGAGGAACUGCUAGUUGAAUCUGCCAUGAGACUAGAAAACAAACUCACGUUACUUGGUGCUACUGGCAUUGAGGAUCGUCUGCAGGAGGGGGUCCCUGAGUCUAUAGAAGCCCUUCACCAAGCUGGCAUCAAGAUCUGGAUGCUGACAGGGGACAAGCAGGAGACAGCUGUCAACAUAGCUUAUGCAUGCAAACUCCUGGAGCCAGAUGACAAGCUCUUCAUCCUCAAUACACAGAGUCAGGAUGCCUGUGGGAUGCUGAUGAGUGCAAUUUUGGAAGAACUUCAGAAGAGAGCUCAAGUGUCUCCGGAGCUGGCAUCAUCAAGAAAGAACUUUCCUCAGCCCUCUGACGCUCAGGGCCAGGGACGUGCGGGACUUGUUAUCACUGGGAAGACCCUGGAGUUUGCCCUGCAGGAGAGUCUGCAAAGGCAGUUCCUUGAGCUGACCGCGUGGUGCCAAGCUGUGAUCUGCUGCCGAGCCACCCCCCUUCAAAAAAGUGAGGUGGUGAAAUUGGUUCGAAACCAUCUCCAUGUGAUGACCCUAGCCAUUGGUGACGGUGCCAAUGAUGUUAGCAUGAUACAAGUGGCCGACAUUGGGAUCGGUGUCUCAGGUCAAGAAGGCAUGCAGGCUGUGAUGGCCAGUGACUUUGCCAUCUCCCAGUUCAGACAUCUCAGCAAACUUCUCCUUGUGCACGGGCACUGGUGUUACACCCGGCUCUCCAACAUGAUUCUCUAUUUUUUCUACAAGAAUGUGGCCUAUGUGAAUCUCCUUUUCUGGUACCAGUUCUUUUGUGGGUUUUCAGGAACAUCUAUGACAGACUACUGGGUGCUGAUCUUCUUCAACCUCCUCUUCACAUCUGUACCCCCCAUCAUUUAUGGCGUUUUGGAGAAAGAUGUUUCGGCAGAGACCCUCCUGCAGCUGCCUGAACUUUACCGGAGCGGUCAGCGAUCAGAGGAGUACUUGCCCCUCACCUUCUGGAUCACCUUGUUGGAUGCCUUUUAUCAAAGCCUGGUCUGCUUCUUCGUGCCUUACUUUACCUACCAGGGCUCUGACAUUGACAUCUUCACCUUUGGGAAUCCCCUGAACACGGCGGCUCUGUUCAUCAUUCUCCUCCACCUGGUGAUUGAAAGCAAGAGUUUGACUUGGAUCCACAUGCUGGUCACGGUUGGGAGCAUCUUGUCCUACUUUUUCUUUGCCUUGGCUUUUGGAGCCUUAUGUGUCACUUGCAACCCACCCUCCAACCCCUACGGGAUCAUGCGGAAGCACAUGCUGGACCCUGUGUUCUACUUGGUUUGUGUACUUACAACCUUCGUCGCGCUCCUGCCGAGGUUUCUUUACCGAGUUCUUCAGGGAUCCGUGUUUCCAUCUCCAGUUCUCAGAGCCAAGUACUUUGACAGACUACCUCCAGAGGAGAGAGCUGAAGCUCUCAAGAGGUGGAGAGGGACAGCAAAGGUCAAUCACGUGGCAUCUAAGCAUGCCAGCCAAUCAGCUGCUAUGUCAGGAAGACCAACACCUGGGUCUUCUGCUGUCCUUGCAAUGAAGUCAGCAACAGUGUCUACUGUUGAGCAGAGCACACGUGAGACUGCGCUAGACCGUGGCUGCUCUGAACCUGGGGCCUCCAAGAUGACUGGAUCCUCAGCAAGCUAAACAUGCAGGACACCCUGCUUAGAGUUGCUGGCAAUCCUUCAAGUUUGGAAGGAUGUAGAAGAGCACCUCUCAGAAGUUAGGAUUACUUGUGGCUUUGUACAAGGGAUGUCAGCAUUUUGCUUGGCAUGGAAAAACCAAGAACCUCUCUAUCAUUGUAUACCUGUGAGCACAUUUGUAAACAAAGGAUAGUGUUUGACCAGAGCAGAGUUUAGGAACUGGAAUAUUUAAUUCAGGAGAAUGUGUUGUUUUUUUGAAACUUUGAUUUUUGUAAAGGAAUUUUAAUUGUCUUCUCGAUGCAAACAUUAUCAAAGAAGCUUAUUUGAAAUAUAUUUAUUUUACAGAUUAGCCUCACCAUGCAUUUGAAAAAUGCUUUAGGUAUUUAAGUAUUCUCCAUGGGUCCCCUGAUGCAAUGGGAGUGAACAUAAUUCUAUGAUGUUCUUUGUAACCUAGGUUUCUUUACCGAGUUCUUCAGGGAUCCGUGAAUUCUCCUUAUGAAAAUCCAACCUGAAUUCUCCUUAUGAAAAAAAAAAGUACUUUAAAAAAUUGUUCAUUAGGAAAACAUUAAUUUUUGAGGACAAAUUCCCAAGAGCCUUUUAUUUCCCAUGAGAGAAGGUUUUGGUUCCCGACUGAAGGUGUUUGACGUCACUCUCUGUCAUUUCAGCUUUCUGCUGAAGUAGCCUUUGUAGGGAAGGGCAAAGAAGAAGGCUAGUGUUUUCAACAAUCCCAGGCUGCCUUCUGCUCUGUUUACUUUGUUUACUGUUUACCCUGUUACUGAGUAGACGCAGAGACUCCCUAUGUGCCGAUGUUGUCAACCAGGAAACGGACAAAUGGCCAUGAAACACAAUCACCUGAGCCUACAGGCCGUGUGUGAGCAGCUCCUGGGUUCUAAAAUUGAUGACACUCAUGUUAAAAAUGAGACAAUCAUUUUGAAAGUCUUCCAGAGUCCGCUUGAGAGUUCAUAGUUGUAACAGUGCUCAAGAGUUUGUCUGUGUUGUGCCCUCCACAGAAUGAGAUAUGGGUUGAAAUUGAUACAGGUUAUUCUCAGUGGGAAUCUCCGAGGCUCUUAGAAAAAUCAACAUAUUGAAGGGUAGAGAUGUCUGUAGCAAGGUUUCUGCUGUGACAAAUCACGGAUGGAUGCUGUCUCCAUUUAGUGCCUAGAAAUUAACUUACACUAGUCAAGUCAAUUUGCUACUGUGAAAUCAUGCACUCUUGUUGAAGUCUUUCAAAGCUUCCAUAUCCACCUGACAGCUGCCACCUCCCUGUCAUCUAGAAUUCUCUUCAUGAACCUCUAUGCUAAAGAUCAGUGUCUACAUCAAAGUCUUAUAAACUGUUACUCUCAGGGCCUGUUACCCGCUGGGUACCAUCCCAGUCACUUUCUGUACCUUCCUGGUAUCGUUGUUAAAUGGUCUUUUCACAUAGACUGAUUUCUGGAACUGUCACAAAACCAUGUGUCUAAACGAAGCUGCCUUCUGCUUCCUUGAGAUUUUUUUUUUUAAAUAAAUUAUUUAAUAAAUGAUGUUCACUG